Molecule: ribosomal RNA, 468 nt
Filed under: uncultured bacterium
Lineage: Bacteria
Description: partial 16S ribosomal RNA
Rfam family: Bacterial small subunit ribosomal RNA
Source: RNAcentral
GACGAACGCUGGCGGCGUGCUUAACACAUGCAAGUCGAACGGAAAGGCCCUGCUUUUGUGGGGUGCUCGAGUGGCGAACGGGUGAGUAACACGUGAGUAACCUGCCCUUGACUUUGGGAUAACUUCAGGAAACUGGGGCUAAUACCGGAUAGGAGCUCCUGCUGCAUGGUGGGGGUUGGAAAGUUUCGGCGGUUGGGGAUGGACUCGCGGCUUAUCAGCUUGUUGGUGGGGUAGUGGCUUACCAAGGCUUUGACGGGUAGCCGGCCUGAGAGGGUGACCGGCGACAUUGGGACUGAGAUACGGCCCAGACUCCUACGGGAGGCAGCAGUGGGGAAUAUUGUACAAUGGGCGGAAGCCUGAUGCAGCAACGCCGCGUGCGGGAUGACGGCCUUCGGGUUGUAAACCGCUUUAGCCUGUGACGAAGCGUGAGUGACGGUAAUGGGUAAAGAAGCACCGGCUAACUACGUG